CAAGCCGCGCAGGCGACCCUCUCGAGGG
RNAcentral lists this ribosomal RNA (28 nucleotides) under Ophiostoma piceae. RNAcentral's name for it is "partial 28S ribosomal RNA". Lineage: Eukaryota; Fungi; Ascomycota; Sordariomycetes; Ophiostomatales; Ophiostomataceae. The record is from RNAcentral.